UACGGAGGGUGCAAGCGUUAUCCGGAAUCACUGGGUUUAAAGGGUGCGUAGGCGGCGCUAUAAGUCAGAGGUGAAAGGCCACCGCUUAACGGUGGGACUGCCUUUGAUACUGUAGUGCUUGAAUCAGGCUGAGGUCGGCGGAAUGUGACAUGUAGCGGUGAAAUGCUUAGAUAUGUCAUAGAACACCAAUUGCGAAGGCAGCUGACUAGACCUUGAUUGACGCUGAGGCACGAAAGCGUGGGGAGCGAACAGGAUUAGAUACCCGGGUAGUCC
RNAcentral lists this ribosomal RNA (273 nucleotides) under uncultured bacterium. RNAcentral's name for it is "partial 16S ribosomal RNA". It matches the Rfam family "Bacterial small subunit ribosomal RNA", at positions 524 to 796 of the family's 1533-position model. The record is from RNAcentral.